Molecule: ribosomal RNA, 253 nt
Filed under: uncultured bacterium
Lineage: Bacteria
Description: partial 16S ribosomal RNA
Rfam family: Bacterial small subunit ribosomal RNA
Source: RNAcentral
UACGUAGGGUGCGAGCGUUGUCCGGAAUUAUUGGGCGUAAAGGGCUCGUAGGCGGUCUGUUACGUCAGGAGUGAAAACUCGGGGCUCAACCCCGAGCCUGCUUCUGAUACGGGCAGACUGGAGGUAUGCAGGGGAGAACGGAAUUCCUGGUGUAGCGGUGAAAUGCGCAGAUAUCAGGAUGAACACCCGUGGCGAAGGCGGUUCUCUGGGACGGUACUGACGCUGAGACGCGAAAGCGUGGGGAGCAAACAGG